RNAcentral lists this ribosomal RNA (253 nucleotides) under uncultured bacterium. RNAcentral describes it as "partial 16S ribosomal RNA". It matches the Rfam family "Bacterial small subunit ribosomal RNA", at positions 524 to 776 of the family's 1533-position model. The record is from RNAcentral.
UACGAAGGGGGCUAGCGUUGUUCGGAUUUACUGGGCGUAAAGCGCACGUAGGCGGAUUGUUAAGUGAGGGGUGAAAUCCCAGGGCUCAACCCUGGAACUGCCUUUCAUACUGGCAAUCUCGAGUCCGGAAGAGGUGAGUGGAAUUCCUGGUGUAGCGGUGAAAUGCGUAGAUAUCAGGAAGAACACCUAUGGCGAAGGCAGCUCUCUGGGACGGUACUGACGCUGAGACGCGAAAGCGUGGGGAGCGAACAGG